GAUGAAGAACGCAGCGAAAUGCGAUAAGUAAUGCGAAUUGCAGAAUUUCCGUGAGUCAUCGAAUCUUUGAACGCACAUUGCGCCCCCUGGUAUUCCGGGGGGCAUGCCUGUCCGAGCGUCAUUGAACGCAACUCAAGCCCGGCUUGUGUGUUGGGCCAUCGUCCCCACGUGCCGUGCCUCCCGUGCGCGGCCGGGGACGGGCCUGAAAGGCAGUGGCGACGUCGCGGUUUCCCGCGAUCAGCCCGAGCGUAUGGGGCUCUGUCAUCACGCUCGCGGCGCGGACCGACGUCGGCCUCCCGUCUUCUCUCUCUCUCAGGGUUGACCUCGGAUCAGGUAGGGAUACCCGCUGAACUUAAGCAUAUCAAUAAGCGGAGGA
RNAcentral lists this unclassified non-coding RNA (376 nucleotides) under soil metagenome. RNAcentral's name for it is "partial contains 5.8S ribosomal RNA, internal transcribed spacer 2, and large subunit ribosomal RNA". The stretch from base 1 to 121 matches the Rfam family "5.8S ribosomal RNA", at positions 35 to 154 of the family's 154-position model. The record is from RNAcentral.